UUGCAUUGAGUCCAAAUUCGUGCACAAAACAUUAUGAGAUCAUAACAUAAAUCCAUGCAAUGGUAUUUGAAAAUUAAGUUCAAAAGUUACCAAAACAAGCCAUGCAAAGUAACCAUGCGCAAGUCACUCAAAAAUGAUCCAAAAGCCAUGAUCUUGGAUGCUUUGGAAAGGUGACAUGAAGGGGAACAACUUUUUUGUUGAAUAAUUUUCCAUUUGGAACUUGGAUCAUGAUGAAUU
Molecule: long non-coding RNA, 237 nt
Filed under: Lathyrus oleraceus (garden pea)
Lineage: Eukaryota; Viridiplantae; Streptophyta; Magnoliopsida; Fabales; Fabaceae
Description: Pisum sativum (pea) long non-coding RNA (PSAT_LNC010434)
Source: RNAcentral